GCAUCAAUGGGGUAGUGGUAACCUGGGUCGUUGCCAUAGUAAGUAAAUACGACAGCCUCGACCCGCCGGGGGUUCGAUUCCCUCUUGAUGCA
Molecule: non-coding RNA, 92 nt
Organism: Marasmius tenuissimus
Lineage: Eukaryota; Fungi; Basidiomycota; Agaricomycetes; Agaricales; Marasmiaceae
Source: the annotation of a GenBank genome assembly